GCUGCUGACUGUGACCAAAUUGUGGCUUUGUGUUAUAAUGGGACCAGAGACCACCUCUAGCCUUAAUCACAUGCAAAGCAUCAAGAUGCAAAAUCUUCAGAUCACACAGAUGUCUCUAGGAAGCUGAAACUACUAAUCAGAAAGCAAUAACUAAUUUCUUGAAAGAGGAUCGAUAAGAAUAAUGCCAGCUGCUGACCUAAUCAUCAUUUCUGUUCUUCCGCAAAUUGCUAAGAGCACCAAUUCUCUGCUGCUGCCUCUGCUGGCCAAACCAAAACUGAGGAUAGAGGAGUUGGGAUACAGGGGAUGAUGCAGCCCAUGGAAGUCAACCCCCUGCAACCCAGAGAAGGCGUAGAUGGGAGCCCAGAGGAAGCAUCUGAUGGGAAAAUGGAGGUAAGUCAGCCCAACAACCUUCUGGACAAUUUCGUAA
Delphinapterus leucas (beluga whale) is the source of this 427-nucleotide non-coding RNA. The record is from RefSeq and is a predicted model, not a curated record. Lineage: Eukaryota; Metazoa; Chordata; Mammalia; Artiodactyla; Monodontidae.